Molecule: long non-coding RNA, 1229 nt
Organism: Oncorhynchus gorbuscha (pink salmon)
Lineage: Eukaryota; Metazoa; Chordata; Actinopteri; Salmoniformes; Salmonidae
Exons: 3
Source: RefSeq, a predicted model, not a curated record
UUCUUUCAUGGCAACUCAUAAUCAGGCCAUGUCCUAUUUGUUUCAUAGUCGAUAUAUAAUCAAAUUUCAUGACAGUGUAACGGGUAGCCUUUUUUUUACAGAAGGAUGAAAGAACACAAUAUGUCUGUCAGUGAAUGCUAUUCUGUUUUGUCAGAUGAAGAGUUAGACCAGAAAGUCAGUGCCAUUAAGGCCAGGAUGCCCCAUGUGGGCUUUAGAAUGGUCAAAGGAAGUCUCAGAGCAAUGGGCAUUCGUGUACAAUGGCGAAGAGUUAGACGGUGCAGGUAUCAUUGCCAGAAUAAUCCAGCUUCGUUGCAUUGCUCAGCAAAAAUACUCUGUUCCUACUCCCCUGUCUCUCGUCCACAUUGAUAAAUUGAUAAGGUACUAAGUUGUAUAAUGUCUCCAUCAAAUCUAAGAAGUUAUUUAAACUUUUUAUUCUUACUUAUUCGUAGACUAAUUUUCAAUGAUGUAUUAAAUUGGAGUUGUUCUUCAUCAACUGGUAAUACAUAAAUAAGGAAGCAGGUUAAUAGGUUAAACAUUUCACUUUUAAUUCCAAUGCAUUUUUUUCAAGAUACAAUAUUGUCAUCUUUGGCGGUAUAGAGGGAUUUUCAAGGAAGGUAAGUAUAUUAUGUUGUAUACAUAUUGCAUAUUUCCCAUCACCUAAUGAACAACCACAAUAGCAGUCUGGCAUUAAGCUUUCUGUGCUGUAUUAACGUAUCCUGAAAAAUCAGUUUCUUUAGAUUGAACAGUCAUAUCUCAAUUAUUGUUUUCAUAUCUACAAAAAAUAAGCUAUUUUCUUUACUUUCAGAGUGCAAACUGAUAAAGGGGUCGCAAAUGUAGAUAUUGCCAGAUGUUCACUGUCCGAGGAACAGGCCGCGGGAAGCUUUAUUGCUGGCAGAAGUGUCCAUAACCAGAGAUUAUAUCAGCUGUGUUGGUGAACCCCUCCCGCAUCUGAACUGGCUAACACAGAGGGAACAGCAUGAUCAUAGGUAUGUUUUAAUGUGAGAGAGGAAGCCAGUCCCGUCAUCGCCACCACACCCGCUCUUAAGAUAACCUUUGGGCCAACUGGGGUCCCAAGGCUGGUUAGGAGAUACUGCUAGAAACACUGUAAUUGUGAUGAACUGAGAGAAUAUCAGGGUAGCACUAUCGUUCAUGAAUCAUAUGCUGUCUACCUCUUUUCUUACCUCCUUCCUUUUCUGUCUUCUACAUCUCUCUCCCCACCUCGUCUUUCU